UGGAAUUGGAUGAAUUAUGCAGAGCUCUAGCUACGCUAUUGCAAGAUCCUUUUGGUUUCUUCAACGUUUCCGUGAAGUCUACGCUUCUACUGAGACAGUUAGGUUGGAGAGACGACCUAGGCCAUUGAUCAGAGCAGUGGCGGACCCAGGAAUAUUUUUUACCUGGGUCAUGGCUCAAAUUCAUUCAUACAUUAAGCCCAAAUAAAGUAAAUAAUGAUUUUAUAUCAAAAGAAAAAAAAGACUAUAAUGUGUACAACCUGAAGUUUGAACUCGUGAAUGAGGGUUCAUUGGGUUCAAUCUGUAACCAACUGAGCCAGUAUCCAAUACUAAAGUAGGCUUACAAAUUAAAAAUCUAUUUUUAACCUGUGUCAAUUGCAACCCCAUUCUUCUAUGUAGGUCCGCCUCUGGAUCAGAGAGCUUCGACUUCGGCGGUGGAACAGUAGAUAUCAGUAGGAUAGAUAAUCCACACUAGGAACUAACCGCUAGUUCUAAGUAUGGUGAAUGCUAGCCUAGAAGGAGAUUGUAGAUGAGAAUAAUCACUUCGAAGGUACUAGAUUCUUGAGAGAGAUAACACAGAGGGUUUUAAGGAUUUUGGAAAUGAUAUUAUUUCUGAUAACGUUCUUCUGCUACUGCAGGGGUACAAAUACUAAAUGACAAAGAGCAGCUAACGGUCUAACAAUGACUUGUCUCAACAGCUGAAAAGUUAAAGUAAAAACUAAAACAGAAAUGAGAUAAGCAUGUUGCUUGGAUAUUCCUUUGUGAUAAGGAUGUCAUGGAUGACUAAUCCUAUGACAAUACUCCCUCCUUCAGAUCAACCUUGUCCUCAAGGAUUAAAAAGAGGAUACUUGGCGGUAAAGUCUUUGUAGAACUCCCAAGUGGCCGUUGCAGGUGAUUCUCCUUUCCACUGAACCAGAAUCCUUGUGACUGCGGUGUUACGUCGCUUAACAGUCUCUGUCUGCAGGAUAGCCUCUGGUUCUUUUGAAUUGCCAAGGUCCAGCCAGUACUGAGGGAUUUCAGGGUCAGCGGUGGGUGGAGUUGGGCAGAGCUUGAGCUGACUGACAUGGAAAGUGUCGUGUAUUGCAGCCUCAGGUGGAAGUGAGAGCUUGUAAGCAACCGAACCCACACGGUCAAUGACACGAAAAGGUCCAUAGAAGCGAGGAGAGAGCUUAUGUGGAACCUUUCUGUUCUUCAAUGUGUUUUGGCGGUACGGUUGAAGCUUGAGAUACACAUAGUCACCUAUCAGGAACUCUCGAGGAGAGCGAUGCGCAUCAGCGUACUGCUUCAUUCUGUUCUGAGCACGGAGAAGGUGGAACUUCAACAUACUGAUCACUUCUUCACGUUUCUGUAAGCUGCGGUCUAUGAUAGGGGAGGAGCUUUCGCCGGGGAGAUAGGGGAGGUGUAGAGGUGGGGGUUGGCCGUAGAUUAUCUCGUAGGGAGUUGAUCGUAUAGCGGAGUGGAAAGUGGUGUUGUACCACCAUUCAGCAAGGCUAAGCCACUUGCUCCAUGAAGAGGGUGUCUCAGCGGUCAUGCAGCGAAGGUAGGUUUCCAGAGUCUUGUUUGUUACCUCAGUCUGGCCGUCUGUUUGAGGGUGAUAAGCUGUGGAGCGUUUGAGAUCAACACCAUGUACUCUGAAAAGCUCUUUCCAAAUCUCACUCAUGAAUGUUGGGUCGCGAUCACUGACUACAUCCUUAGGCAUCCCGUGGAGCUUAAAGAUGUUGUCCAAGUAUGCCUGAGCCACUGUUAGAGCAGUGUAAGGGUGGGAUAGAGCAAUGAAAUGAGCGUUCUUGCUGAGCCUGUCAACGACUACCAGGAUACAGUGCUUGCCAUAAGAGGGUGGGAGUCCCUCGAUGAAGUCAAGACUGAUAGAUUCCCAUACUCCUGCUGGGAUAGGGAGAGGCUGUAGGAGGCCCGGACUAGCCGCUAAGUCAUAUUUAUUCUUUUGGCAGACAGAGCAGUUGCGGACGUAGUUCUGAACCUCAGCGUUCAUCUUUGGCCAGUAAAACAGAGAUUUGAUGCGGUUCAAAGUUGCAUCACGACCAGAGUGACCUCCAACGGCGGAAUCAUGAAGCCAUUUGAAGAUAUGCAUCUUGAUGGUAUGAUCAUUUCCCACUACUAGCUUCCCUUUUCUUCGUAACUCAUUGUUGCAGAACGUGAACUGAGGGUGGGAUGAUUUGUCCCUCUGUAGGUCUGAGAUUAUCUUCUGGAGAUGUGAGUCAGUUUCCCAGAGGAGCUUCAGAGAGUCGUAAAACCCAGUGUGAGCCUGAGAAAGGUUCAUAGAUAGCAGCUCAGAACCAGAGACUCGAGAUAGAGCGUCAGCCACGACGUUUUCUUUCCCUUGUUUGUAGCGUAUUUCGAAGCUAUAACCCAUCAGCUUCGAUAUCCACAUAUGUUGAAAGGGUGUUGUGAUCUUCUGCUCCAUAAGGUAUUUGAGACUGCGUUGAUCAGUGUUGAUGAUGAACGGUCUGUGAGCGAGAUAAGCAUGCCAAGACUGGACCGCAUGGACAACAGCCAACAAUUCUUUCUCGUAGACUGAUAGGUUCUGAUGUUUCGGACCCAAGGAGCGACUGAUGAAGCAGAUAGGGUGGGAGUUUUGCAUUAAAACUGCACCAAUACCCGUGUUGGAAGCAUCUGUUUCCACCGUGAAAGUCUGAUCAAAGUCAGGGAGGGCAAGCACUGGAGUAGAGCCUAGCGCUUUCUUCAGGUGGAGGAAGGAUUCAGCUGCCAGUGAAGACCAGAGGAAAUUUUCCUUCUUCAAGAGGUGGCUGAGAGGUUUUGCCACAGAGCUAUAACCUUUGAUGAAGCGUCUGUAGUAGUUUGCCAGUCCCAAGAAACUCCGUAGUUGCUUCUGUGUCGUAGGGACUGGCCAUUUACUGAUCACUUCGAUCUUUUUAGGAUCGGUACUGAUACCCUCUGCUGAGAUGAAGUGGCCGAGGUAUUCGAUCCUUGUAGCUCCAAAAGUGCAUUUGGAGAGCUUGAGGUAUAGCUGUUGAUUCUUUAGGAGCUUGAAGACUUCAGAGAGAUGCUCCAGGUGUUCUUUCCAAGUCUUGCUGUAAACGAGGAUAUCGUCGAAGAAGACUAGGACAAACUUGCGGGAGACGUCUUGAAAGACAUGGUUCAUGAGGCUUUGAAAUGUGCAAGGAGCAUUUGUCAAGCCGAAAGGCAUGACAAGGUAUUCAAAGUGCCCGUUGUGGGUUUUGAAGGCUGUCUUGUAGACGUCUGCUUCAGACAUUCGAAGUUGAUGAAAGCCGGCGCGCAGAUCAAGCUUCGUGAAGUACUUAGCUCCACCAAGUUCGUCCAGGAGGUCAUCAAGCAGAGGAAUAGGAUACUUGUCUUUUAUUGUCUGCUUGUUGAGGCCUCUGUAGUCCACGCAAAGUCUCCAGGUACCGUCUUUCUUCUUGACUAGUACUAUAGGAGAAGCGUAGGGGCUAGAGCUAUGCUGAAUGAUUCCUUGAGUCAUCAUCUCUUUGAUCAUCACGUCAAUAUUGUCCUUUUGCAGGGAAGAGUACCAGUAAGGUCUCAAGUUCAACGGGUUGGAGCCUGCAAGGAGAGGAAUUUGGUGAUCAAAGCCUUCGCGAAAAGGUGGGAGAGAUGAUGGUUCCUCGAAGAUGUCGGAGAAGGAAUCAAGGAGAUACAGCAGGUCAGGGUCGUCAGCGUUGGCUGUCGCGGUUGCUGAGAUGUGGGAAAAGAGUGACUCAGGGGUGAAGUUAUCAUCCUCAGUGUUCUCAGUAGUCACUUCUCGAAUCUGUAUCAGAGCGAUCUGCGGCUCUUGCAACAUCAGUUUGUUCAAGGUGGAACCUUUGAUGAGCUUGCCACCCGUCUUGACAACACCACGUAGUACAUGCUUAGUACCCAACAAGGAGAAUUCCAUUCUUAAGUUGAGGAAGUCCCAAAGAAUGGGUCCGAGGGUGCAGAGCCAUUGAACUCCCAACACAAAGUCACAGCAGUCGAAAGGGACUGUGCGGAUCUCAGUAGUGAAGGUUGAUCCUUGAACCGACCAUGUGAAAUCAGAGCACUUGUAUUUCGUGAUGAGAGUUCCACCUGUAGCGGCUUUGACUGACAUAGGUUUUGUUGACUCAAGCUUGCAACCAAUAUGGUUAGCAAUGUUGAUGUCAACAAAGUUGUGAGUGCUCCCCGGGUCGACCAGAAUGUGGAGCUUUGUCUUGCCAUAGUAGCCUAUCAACCUCAUGCAGUUGUAGGAUGUAGAGCCGUCUAAGGCGUUGAUAGAUAUGACAGGUGUGUCGUCGGUUUGCGCAACAGUUUGGUCAGGGGUUGCCACAACGUCAUCUUGCUCACUCUCUGAGGAGCUGUCAUCAUCCUCACAUUCCAUGACGAAGAUUUGGGACCGUUUGUGCUUAAGCUGAUGACCUGGUGUGAAAGUUUCAUCGCAAAACAUACAAAGGCCUUUGGAUCUCCUGUCUUGCAUCUCUUGGUAAGAGUAUUUGCGAGGAGGUUUAUCUGAGGCGUUACGGGGAAUGAAACCGGUUUUGGUGGUCGUUGAGGCAUCAGUGUUUUGUAGCAGGGGUGUGGAGUUGGGUGGUUUAGAGUAGCGUUGGUAAGGGGAAGGUGUGAAGGGGGCUUUUUGUGGUUUAGUGGGUGCGUGGGAAAGGGAGGAUUCAUGUAAAGCAGCGAUCUUAGCAGCACCAGAGAUGGUAGUGACCUCAAACUGUCGUGUGUGAAGUGACAGGUGAGGGUUCAUGUUAGCUAAGAAGAUGCUAAGGGCGUGGGCCUCAGGUAGGACAAGGCGCAUCCAAGCUGUCUCAAACUUGUCGCGGUAGUCAACAACGAAAUCAGACCCUUGUUUUAGUGCGACGAGCUCAGCUAGGGGGUCGUCAAACAACUCGCAGAAACGAGCAGAGAUGGCGAUAAUGUAGUCAGUCCAAGAAGGAAACAAGCCAAACCUAGUGGUCAUGUAGUUGGUGUGCCACUGGGUUGCUUUCCCUUUGAGAUGCAUCGCAGCCAGGCGAACUUUGAGUUCCUGCGGUGUGCCAUCAAUGUCGAAGAACUGCUCGCAUUUAGAAAGCCAGUCGCGGAGUUCGGUGCCGUCAAACGCCGGAAAGGAGAUCUUUGAGAGGCGAGAGGUUAAGCCACCGUAGUUUUGUCGAGGAGGGUGUGGAAAUGGGUCAGGGGGAUCUGGGAGGUGGUGGGAGCUGUGGGUGAAAGGUGUUGGUGGUGGGUUUUGGUCGAGGUUGUUGGGGAUGGGUGUCGGAGGGUGAGAAGGGCCAGGGUCCAUCGGGGCUUUUCCGGUGGCUUGAAUGGCGGAGAUGUGGUUGAAUAUCAUAGCUUCGAGUCGGUCGAAGCGUGAUUCAUGGAGUCGGAUUGGGUUUUGACUUCAGAGGCUAAGAGGUCAUGGAGAGAACGGAUCUCGUCGACUUGCUCUGUCAGUGACCGUUCCUGAAGUUGGGUUUCAACCAUCGUCGCAGGUCAGAGAAUCGAUGAAAUCUGAUACCAAUGGAACAGUAGAUAUCAGUAGGAUAGAUAAUCCACACUAGGAACUAACCGCUAGUUCUAAGUAUGGUGAAUGCUAGCCUAGAAGGAGAUUGUAGAUGAGAAUAAUCACCUCGAAGGUACUAGAUUCUUGAGAGAGAUAACACAGAGGGUUUUAAGGAUUUUGGAAAUGAUAUUAUUUCUGAUAACGUUCUUCUGCUACUGCAGGGGUACAAAUACUAAAUGACAAAGAGCAGCUAACGGUCUAACAAUGACCUGUCUCAACAGCUGGAAAGUUAAAGUAAAAACUAAAACAGAAAUGAGAUAAGCAUGUUGCUUGGAUAUUCCUUUGUGAUAAGGAUGUCAUGGAUGACUAAUCCUAUGACAGGCGGCGAUGGAUAUAGCUUUGGUAUGUUCUCAUUCGCUUGAAACGAGGCGAACAAGCUUCUCCCAGAACUCAACAACAUUCUCUCCGCUGCACCACCACCACCUCCUCGUCGAUCUAACGUGUCAAGACGUGAGAGUGUCACCGGCUGUCUCCGCCCCGUCGAUUGCGGCCGGUUUGUAGCCACAGAAGAAGAGGGAGUCGCCGGUCGAUUCGUUCUUGUGACGUUCGGUGAUUCACAUCUCUUAGCUGUCGAGAAAGGUGAUGACUGGAGUAAAGAAGAAGAAGAGGUUGGCUCCAGGUAUCGCGAAGCUACAUCUCGCCUUUGUGGGGGGGCGAUGAGCAACGGCGCUCGGCAAUUCCAACGGCGGUGGCCUCGUAGCUUUGCUCUGCUUAGGUCUGGCGUUGAAAGAAGGAGUCAUCUCCCACUAAGUUGCAUAAUGUGAGGAAGAUUUGUAUAGGGAAGAUUUUCUCAACGUGUAUAUGGAAAGGGAGUGGAUUAAGUAUAAAUCUCCGGCGAGUGUGGAAGGAGAUUAUUACGCCUGUUUCUGUGAGACGGCAUAACUGUCGUCGUCGUCGUCUCCUCCUCCUACCUCGCUUUUUGCCUUCCAUUUUUCGACUCUUUCUUUAACUUUUUUUUUUCGUUGAAACUAUUUACACUCAAUUAUGGACACUUGAUAUUCCAAAAAAAGAGGACCGU
Molecule: long non-coding RNA, 6509 nt
Filed under: Brassica rapa (field mustard)
Lineage: Eukaryota; Viridiplantae; Streptophyta; Magnoliopsida; Brassicales; Brassicaceae
Description: long non-coding RNA (BRAP_LNC004748)
Source: RNAcentral